Molecule: ribosomal RNA, 115 nt
Organism: Danio rerio (zebrafish)
Lineage: Eukaryota; Metazoa; Chordata; Actinopteri; Cypriniformes; Danionidae
Source: Ensembl
AAAUACAUCGAUCAUUUACUUAUAUCAAGACCGGAUAGUCACUGAAGCUAAGCAGGGCUGAGCCUGGUUAGUACCUGGAUGGGAGACCACUAGGGAACACUAGGGGCUCUAUUUU